Zootoca vivipara (common lizard) is the source of this 69-nucleotide non-coding RNA. The record is from the annotation of a RefSeq genome assembly. Lineage: Eukaryota; Metazoa; Chordata; Lepidosauria; Squamata; Lacertidae.
GCCGUAGCUCAAUGGUAGAGCAUCUGCUUUAGAUGCAGAAGGUCCCAGGUUCAAACCCCGGCAUCUCCA